GUGCCAGCAGCCGCGGUAAUACAGAGGUCCCAAGCGUUGUUCGGAUUCACUGGGCGUAAAGGGUGCGUAGGUGGCCGGGUAAGUUCGGUGUGAAAGCUCGGAGCUUAACUCCGAAAUGGCAUUGAAUACUAUCCGGCUUGAGGUUCGGAGGGGAGACUGGAAUUCUCGGUGUAGCAGUGAAAUGCGUAGAUAUCGAGAGGAACACCAGUGGCGAAGGCGAGUCUCUGGACGAAUCCUGACACUGAGGCACGAAAGCUAGGGGAGCAAACAGGAUUAGAUACCCGCGUAGUCC
RNAcentral lists this ribosomal RNA (292 nucleotides) under uncultured bacterium. RNAcentral's name for it is "partial 16S ribosomal RNA". It matches the Rfam family "Bacterial small subunit ribosomal RNA", at positions 505 to 796 of the family's 1533-position model. The record is from RNAcentral.